UGAUCCUGGCUCAGGACGAACGCUGGCGGCAUGCGUAAGACAUGCAAGUCGAACGAACAAAUUGGUGCUUGCACCAAUGAGUUAGUGGCGAACGGGUGAGUAACACGUAGGUAACCUACCUCAAAGACGGGGACAACAGUUGGAAACGACUGCUAAUACCGGAUAGGUAAUUGUUUCGCAUGAAACGAUUAUUAAAGGAGCUUUCAAGCUUCGCUUCGAGAUGGACCUGCGCCGUAUUAGCUAGUUGGUGAGGUAAUGGCUCACCAAGGCAACGAUGCGUAGCCGAGCUGAGAGGCUGAUCGGCCACACUGGAACUGAGACACGGUCCAGACUCCUACGGGAGGCAGCAGUUAGGAAUAUUGGGCAAUGGACGAAAGUCUGACCCAGCAAUGCCGCGUGUGUGAAGAAGGCCUUCGGGUUGUAAAGCACUGUUGUGAAGGAAGAACAGUAUGUAUAGGAAAUGAUACAUAUGUGACGGUACUUCACCAGAAAGCCACGGCUAACUACGUGCCAGCAGCCGCGGUAAUACGUAGGUGGCAAGCGUUGUCCGGAAUUAUUGGGCGUAAAGGGAGCGUAGGUGGUUUGUUAAGUCUGAUGUGAAAGCCCGCGGCUCAACCGCGGAGGGUCAUUGGAAACUGACAAACUUGAAUACAGCAGAGGUAAGUGGAAUUUCAUGUGUAGCGGUGGAAUGCGUAGAUAUAUGAAGGAACACCAGUGGCGAAGGCGACUUACUGGGCUGAUAUUGACACUGAGGCUCGACAGCGUGGGGAGCAAAUAGGAUUAGAUACCCUAGUAGU
This 797-nucleotide ribosomal RNA is filed under the name uncultured marine bacterium. RNAcentral's name for it is "bacterial SSU rRNA". It matches the Rfam family "Bacterial small subunit ribosomal RNA", at positions 14 to 794 of the family's 1533-position model. The record is from RNAcentral.